RNAcentral lists this long non-coding RNA (717 nucleotides) under Amborella trichopoda. RNAcentral's name for it is "long non-coding RNA (ATRI_LNC002979)". The record is from RNAcentral. Lineage: Eukaryota; Viridiplantae; Streptophyta; Magnoliopsida; Amborellales; Amborellaceae.
CUGAUGUCAUCAUACUUCCCUCUUCUUCCCAACCAAUAGAAGAGAAUUAUACAAAUAAGAGGUAUAAUGGAUAUAUCGAUAACUAUCCACUGUGCGUGGUUGAAAUCUCCUAUUUUAAAACUAAAUAAUAUUUUAAAUUGCAUUCGAUCUAUAGAAAUUUUUUCAUGACAGACUGAUAAUUUAAACUGUAUUGAUACACACUAUUUCAAACUGAAACUUAUUUCAAACUGAAACUUAUUACAGAGUGUACAAGAUUACAGACUAAUCUGAGAAGGAUUACAAAGUGUAACUACUUAAAACAGUACAAUAACAAUUGAUAAAAAAUUAAUACACUCACAGUGUACAUAUGCAAUAACUGGAAAAGAGUUUCCAGUGUUGGGGCAAUAUGAAGGAAGAGAAUUCAGAUUGCAAUCACACAUGCUGAUAUAAAAAUAAGGAGAAGAGAUAGAAUCUGGAGGUGGAUGGAUAGGAAGCUAUGAGGUCAAGAUAGCUUUGAUGGAUGAUAACCUAUCUCCGAGAGCAAGAGAAAGAAGGGAGAGCAGAGAAGGAAGGGAGAGCAUAGAAGGAAAGGAGAGCAGAGAAGCUCUCAAAAAAUUGUUGAUCUCAGACCUGAGUUUCGACCUGCUGAGUGAAUGAGAGGGAGUUCCCUUUUAUAGAUGAGUUUGCUUCAUGAUGAAGCAAAGGGGUGAUAAGAUCGAAAGGGGAAGAGGACAGAUG